Molecule: long non-coding RNA, 3483 nt
Filed under: Glycine max (soybean)
Lineage: Eukaryota; Viridiplantae; Streptophyta; Magnoliopsida; Fabales; Fabaceae
Description: long non-coding RNA (GMAX_LNC001157)
Source: RNAcentral
UAAUUUUCACACACAGAGAUUUACGAUUUGAUUUCUCUAUAGCUCCGCUACUUGUUACCAAGCAAACUAAGUUCUAUAGAUAAUGUACAUUUAAUAUGAAAGAAAUGAGAUAUCGUGUGCACCGGCAAUCCAAUACCUUCUUCAGCUUUGCUUGGGCUGUUGCUAGGUGCAGCCAAUAUUAUUUUUUGUGCACCCAACAAUUUAAGUGAAAUAAAAAUGUCUUUCACUUAAAUUUUAAAAAUCCUCUCCCUCUCAUCUCCUUCAUGCAUUCGGUACAUGCUUCUGCUGCAACACAGCUUCUUCCUCCUUUGUCUCUGCGUUAUCGUUGCCGCGUCGCCGUUAGCCUCCAUUGGUUCCGUUCAGGCUGUUUACACCACUCUCGUGCUUUUUUGUCGUCAAGGUAAGGUUUUUUUUUCUGGUUUAGAAUCAUGUUUGGUAUCCACGUAACACAUAUGGAUUACCUAAUCUGUAUGAGUUAUACGAAUUAACUCAACUGUAAAACUCAUACGGAUUAGUUAAUCCAUAUGUUUUUUUAAUUUAUCAAUAAAUUAAAUUUUUUUAAAACUAAAUGUUUUUUAUUUAUAAAAAAUUAUUUUGAUUUUUUUUAAAUAGUUAUUUUUUUAUUAAAUAUAAAUAUAUUAUUUUGUUUUUUGUUUGUAGAUAGUUAUUGUUUAAUUUUUAAAUAAAAAAAUAUUAUUUUAAAUUGUUUUUAAAUAGUAUUUUUUUAAUUACAAAUAUAUUAUUUUAUUUUUUGUUUGCAAAUACUUAUUGUUUAAUUUUUAAAUAAAAAAUAUUAUUUUGAAUUAUGUUUUUAAAUAGUAAUUGUUUUUAAUUGAAAAUAUAUUAUUUUGUUUUUUGUUGGUAAAUAGUUAUUGUUUAUUUUUUAAAAUAAAAAUAGAUUAUUUUGAAUUAUGUUUUUAAAUAGUAAUAAUUUUUUUAAUUGUAAAUAUUAUUUUUUAAAAUAGUUAUUGUUUCUUUUUAACAAUCAUAUUAACAUAUUUAUAAUUUAAAAAAUUAAAAAACUUAACAUUUUUUUAAUUAAAAAAAUUAAAAUUCCAUAUAACUCUUAUGGAUUAGUUAAUCCGUAUAAGUUAUAUGAAUUACAUAAUUCGUAAGUUAUAUAAAAGUUAUGCACUAACAAAUCCAUAAGUUAUAUAUAAAAAAAGUUACUUAAAAGAAAGCAGAAAACACUCCAUAAGUUAUAUAUAUAUAAAAUUACUUAAAAGAAAGCAGAAAACACUUAAAAAUAUUUUCAGAAUUUUAUUUUAAUGCUAGGUGCACAAGUAAAGAAGACACAAAAAAGACACGUAAGUUCAAAAUUUUAUUUUAAUGAUAGGUGCACCUAGCAACAUCCCUUUGUUUAGGUGCUUAAGAAGACACAAAGUCCAACUAUUAAAACCUAUAGAUCCAAAUUUGUAGGCCCAUUAUGUUGUGAAAUGCGUUGCUCUACGUCGCGAACACGACUAGUGAGUUUGUUUAUUGUGUCCUCCAAAGUCCAUUAUAUUAGGCGCUUUUAAAUAAACUUAAUUGCAUAUUUAAGUUAUUUACUGUACGAGAGCUAAAAUUGUAUGAUGACUGCAAAGUUCAUUAAAAUAAGUUGAAAAUAAAUUUUGGUUUAAUCAUUCUUUUUAUCCUUAUAAUUUAAAACAACUUGUUCUUUUAGUCUUUCAGUUUAAAACAUCUAUGUUUGGUUAUUAUAGUUACAAAUUCAGGACGCAUAUGAAACCGAGAGAGAAAAAGUUGCUGGAAAAAUUGAGGGUAAUUUGGAGAUAACAUGUUUGAGAGAAAAGAAAAACUGUUACAAAAUAAGCAUAAGCUAAAAAUGUACACAUGCAUAAAAUCAACUUUUUUUCUUAAAAAAAACUUACAUUUCAGAAAAUGUUCCUAAACAAAACAGCUGAAAUGAAUAGUUUUAGUUUGUCCCAAACACAUUUUUCUGAUUCUAAAGAUUACUAUGAUAGCACCUCAAGUAUAGGUUUAAAAUGAAAAUUAUUCAUUUAUUAUCCUCGUAGUUUUAAUAAAAUGUUACUCAUAUUUUGAAAUAUAAAAUUUAGUGUUUAAUGUUUUGAUGCCUUUUUUUUUAUUUUCGCAUGUAUUUUUCUGAGAAGUACAUCUUCUUACAUUGCAAUUAGAGGGAUAGAAUGAAAGAAAAAACCUAGAUUGAAGAGCAAUGGGAAGAUUCCCAGAGUAUAAGAGAUAAAUUCAUGAAGCACCAAAAAGAUAAAAGAAAAAAAAACAGCAGCAGGUUACAACAAAAAUAGAGCAAUGUAUAGAAAUGGAAUUCAACUAUUUCCUUCAUCCCCUGUACAAAAUUAAUUUAUAAAGUUAAAAGAAUCUGGCGUUAGUCGUUUAUAUAGAUAUAUACAUAACUAGAGCUAUGUAUAGAAAUGAAUGUUGAAUAUUAUCCUUAAGAAAGACUGGGCUAGUAAGAAUUCUAGCAGAAAAACAGAGCUGAGAGGUGACAAGUGAGAACCACAAUUGAGUGUAGAUGAAGAUUUCAGUAACCCAACCCAUCCAUAAUAUCCAAAACGUUAUAGUUUUGGUGGUUAAAGACUUGUCUUGUACCGAAGAAUUCCUUGGCAGGUGAACUCCCAGCACUUUUGGUCACUUGCAAAUGUUUGACGUGUCUUUUCUUGGCCAAACCAAGAUCCUCACUUUUGCUAAGUCCUGGACUCUUUCUCCUUGCAAUAACCUCCUCCAAUAGUCUCCUAUCCUCAUGAGAAAUUUGAGUUCCCAACGGCUUGUUGCUACUAUCCACAGAUAGAAUUAAAAACUGUCGCAUCUUAGACUGAAGUUCGAGUCCUUUUGGAGGAGACCGUGUUGUAGGCAUUGGUCUCAAGGUAUUCUGUCUAGAUUUUACAGAGCUAAUCAAAUGGUGAAGCCAUGCCAACAAUUCAAUGAUGUAAACAUCUAUCUUCCUCUUAUCAGCGUAAUAAAGUGUCUCCAGGCGAAUCAGGUUACUUUCUUUGGAGGUGUUAUCACCAAAGUCAUUACUGCAAUAUUAGAACAAAAGUUAUCAUUAGGUUUCCUUCCAACUGCACGUGUAAACACAAUUAGUAUAUGCUAAGAGAAUAAUACUCCAUGUUUACAACUAACCUUGCGUUUGCCCAUUCACCAACCCAUCCGAAACCUUGAUGUGCUCUGUCAUGAAUAUCAAUAGAGAAAACAAAUGCAUAAGCAAUUGCAGUUAAAGGAAAUAAGACCAGCAAGGAGAGAGUGAAAAAAGAGCAAGUAUAAGCAAAAUUUUCAAACAAAUAUAUUACAUAUCUUACUUGACUGUAUUUGUAGCAAGUGGUGCAAGCCACUGAAGAAUCUUAUCCAUUUCAGCUUUGAUCCGAGUGAUGGAGAGCUACAGAAAAUUGCUAUGUCAUUUAACAUAAUUCAAAACGAAAUAAAACCCUAUCUUCAUGAAGUGGGUGUGAGUAAGCCCCCAAAAAAAUGACACAUAACUAGGACUAGAAAAUGGAAUGCAAUGGAUAUCUG